CAACGGCUUCCCUUGGAUUGCACACACCGACUCCACUGCACCCACCACGCUGAAGGCCCAGCACCCUCCACACUGCAGAGAAGAAUUGAUUGGAUUCAUGAAUAAUCCACUACUUAUCAAGACUGCAAAUGAUUAACCAAAUGACUUGAUGAACCUACAAACCAUGAACAGUCUGACCAGAGGUGUCACUAGAACACUGCUCAUAUGACGAGGUAAUCAUCCUCUGCAGCUACAUGGACCUGCAUUAAUUAUAUUUAAUGCAGUGAUUGGCAGAGAGCACUCAGGAAUUCAUUUUCUUUAUGACUAGCAUAUGAUAUAUGCUUGAAAGUUGUUUCACCCAGGUCUAUCUUGCAUGGGAUAAAAAGGAUCUACAGAAGAGAUGCAUCCUAAAGAGCUCCUGGAGGAAAGUCCGGUUUUCCGAUCUAGCUGGAAUGAAAAAAUGUAACCCUCACUGUACUUUGUCAUAAUUUAUCUUAGCUUGCCUUUUCUGUGAAGGGGUUUCAAUCUCCUAACUCUAUCUUCUACCUCAUUAUUCAGGUUACAUGAAACUUCAGAGGACUUCCAUUCCCUGAGCUUCUAAUUCUAGCUUGUGCACAUAAAGGGGUGUGUGUGUGUGUGUGUGUGUGUGUGUGUGUGUGUGUGUGUGUGUGCAUGUGUGAGACCAAUAAGCAAAACCAGGGCAAGUUCAUCAGUCCCACUGUCACUGUGUCACCCUCACUGAGGACAUGCCUAGAACACAAGAAAUCUUCAAUAACUAUCUGUUGUGAUGUUUAAUAACUACAUAAGUGAAAUGUCCCAGACCCCCCCCUACCUUCAUCAGCUAGUUAUUAUGGAGACCACUGCAGAGUCAACAUAGUCUUAAUUCUCCCUUAUCCAAUAUGACUAGAAGGGUUGUUAAUCAGUGAAUUCUAAAUGAUUUUUAAAGUAUUUUAUUUAUUAUUUUUAUUUUAUGUGUGUGAGUGUAUUGCCUGCACAUAUGUG
Nannospalax galili (Upper Galilee mountains blind mole rat) is the source of this 981-nucleotide long non-coding RNA. RefSeq lists it as uncharacterized. The record is from RefSeq and is a predicted model, not a curated record. The transcript is spliced from 4 exons. NCBI's taxonomy places the organism in Eukaryota, Metazoa, Chordata, Mammalia, Rodentia, Spalacidae.